AUUGAACGCUGGCGGCAGGCUUAACACAUGCAAGUCGAGCGGGGUGAUGGUGCUUGCACUAUCACUUAGCGGCGGACGGGUGAGUAAUGCUUAGGAAUCUGCCUAUUAGUGGGGGACAACAUCUCGAAAGGGAUGCUAAUACCGCAUACGUCCUACGGGAGAAAGCAGGGGAUCACUUGUGACCUUGCGCUAAUAGAUGAGCUUAAGUCGGAUUAGCUAGUUGGUGGGUAAAGGCCUACCAAGGCGACGAUCUGUAGCGGGUCUGAGAGGAUGAUCCGCCACACUGGGACUGAGACACGGCCCAGACUCCUACGGGAGGCAGCAGUGGGGAAUAUUGGACAAUGGGGGGAACCCUGAUCCAGCCAUGCCGCGUGUGUGAAGAAGGCCUUAUGGUUGUAAAGCACUUUAAGCGAGGAGGAGGCUCUUUUGGUUAAUACCCAAGAUGAGUGGACGUUACUCGCAGAAUAAGCACCGGCUAACUCUGUGCCAGCAGCCGCAGUAA
This 502-nucleotide ribosomal RNA is filed under the name uncultured bacterium. RNAcentral describes it as "partial 16S ribosomal RNA". It matches the Rfam family "Bacterial small subunit ribosomal RNA", at positions 30 to 523 of the family's 1533-position model. The record is from RNAcentral.